This 765-nucleotide long non-coding RNA is filed under the name Mus musculus (house mouse). RNAcentral's name for it is "predicted gene 11655". The record is from RNAcentral. Lineage: Eukaryota; Metazoa; Chordata; Mammalia; Rodentia; Muridae.
GCACUGAGAACAUUCAGGACAAACUUCUGUUGCUGUGAAGCUGGCACAGAAGAUAAUCCACCCACUGAAGAGCAGAAUUAGCACCGGGGCUUUGGUGUUGGGUUUGUUUCCCUGAAAUAACUUCUUUCUCAGGCUUCCCAUGGCAUCACGGUGAAUCUCUGAAACGUGAAAUUUUAGGCAACAUCAGCGGUCUUUUUUUUUUUUUUUUUCUUUUCUUACAAUGGUUUCUAAGACAUAGGGCUGAACUCAUGGUCACAGUAAGGCAAUGACAACUCGGACUCCUACCCACGGCCAGCGGCUAGCUGCUGUAGGGUUCUGCUUCUGCUCGGCUAUCAUUUGCACCCUGGCUUCCAUGGCUGCUUCCCAGUGUUGACAGGGAUAGAGAGGAGAGUAAAGAGACAAGGGAGGACCGAACAGGAAGAAGAUGGGAGUCUGAGCAUGGAAGGGAAGGGACUGAAACGUGCUGCUCUGAGAGGACUUCAAAACAUGGACAACAGGAUGUCAGCUUUUUAGGAAAGUUGAGAGGAUCUCACAACCUCCCGCCUUUGUAUUAGUCGCUGAAGGAGAUGAGGAGGAGGAGGAGGAGUCACUUCAGCCAGUGACAGAAGACCGAAGGUUUGCCGAAAUCCCCAGAGAAUUCACAGACUGAGCCAAGUGCUAAGGAUCCUUAGAGAGUCAGGAGUGGCUGGGAAGAAAUUCGGAAUCUUUUCCUGUCCCUUGGAAGCCAUCAAAAGAGCUCGAAUAAAGAGGAAUGUGUAUGAAAGU